This 890-nucleotide long non-coding RNA is filed under the name Lathyrus oleraceus (garden pea). RNAcentral describes it as "Pisum sativum (pea) long non-coding RNA (PSAT_LNC022042)". Lineage: Eukaryota; Viridiplantae; Streptophyta; Magnoliopsida; Fabales; Fabaceae. The record is from RNAcentral.
AAAGAUUGAUUUAUUCUUUAACUUACGAGUCGGGGUUUUAGGGUGUUAGAAUAAGAGCUACAAAUCUUUGGCUAUACUUUACUAUAAAUUUUAAUAUCACACAAAAGUAAAAACAUGGCUCGUAGUAGGAAAAUGUAUAUGUCUUACUCUAUAAUGAUAUAGGGAAAUAUCAUCAUAAGAAUUACAAUUAGAUAGAGCUUUCCUAUGACUAGAGAUACAACUAUUUGAAAAACGUCCUUAAAUAGCUAGUCUAUGACUAUGUAUACCAUUAUUUGAGGAAAGGAAAAUAAGACCAUAAGCUUGUGGCGAAAGCAAACGAAUGUGAGGAAGCAAAUACAAAUCAUUCUCAAUAAGAUACCCUUCAAGAACAACUUGAUUAAAAGCCUGAGAUUUCACAAAGCAUUUGUUAGCGAGAAAUUCAAACAUGACACAUCUAUCCUUUGCAAAUUUGGACACAAAUAACAAGUUUCUAGAAAUAUCAGAUAGAUGUAAAAUAUGCUUAAGAACAAGUUUAGUAUUAGGUGAGGCCUGAGGCACAAACCAUGAGGAACCAUCAGGUUUAAUAGACAAGCUUUGACCAUUCCCAAUUUAGACUCUAUCAUUGCCUAAUUAAGUAGAUUUAUGUUGGAUAAAAGAAUCAAAAUAGGUAAGGUGAUGUGAUGCACCUGAAAAGAGAGAAAGCCAUACAUAGACCUAGAGAAACGUUACUUAAGAGUUUAACAAACUCUAUUCUCCACAAUCAUUGUUUUAACUAACUUUAAACUACAAUACUAUACUAACUAUAGUAACUAUCUCAACUAAUUUAUUUUAGUAUAUUGAUAACAACCCAACAUAUAAUUCCUAAUUAACAUACAAGUUUGGGGUGGUCUUAGUUUUUAUCAAUAAAAAAA